This 524-nucleotide ribosomal RNA is filed under the name uncultured bacterium. Its description in RNAcentral is "partial 16S ribosomal RNA". It matches the Rfam family "Bacterial small subunit ribosomal RNA", at positions 28 to 523 of the family's 1533-position model. The record is from RNAcentral.
GACGAACGCUGGCGGCGUGCCUAAUACAUGCAAGUCGAACGCUUCUUUUUCCACCGGAGCUUGCUCCACCGGAAAAAGAGGAGUGGCGAACGGGUGAGUAACACGUGGGUAACCUGCCCAUCAGAAGGGGAUAACACUUGGAAACAGGUGCUAAUACCGUAUAACAAUCGAAACCGCAUGGUUUUGAUUUGAAAGGCGCUUUCGGGUGUCGCUGAUGGAUGGACCCGCGGUGCAUUAGCUAGUUGGUGAGGUAACGGCUCACCAAGGCCACGAUGCAUAGCCGACCUGAGAGGGUGAUCGGCCACAUUGGGACUGAGACACGGCCCAAACUCCUACGGGAGGCAGCAGUAGGGAAUCUUCGGCAAUGGACGAAAGUCUGACCGAGCAACGCCGCGUGAGUGAAGAAGGUUUUCGGAUCGUAAAACUCUGUUGUUAGGGAAGAACAAGUACCAUAGUAACUGAUGGUACCUUGACGGUACCUAACCAGAAAGCCACGGCUAACUACGUGCCAGCCGCCGCAGUAA